GUACUUGCCACGGCAAUGUACAUAUACUAAAAUUGGAACGAUACAGAGAAGAUUAGCAUGGCCCCUGGCGCAAGGAUGACACGCAAAAUCGUGAAGCGUUCCAAUCUUUU
This 110-nucleotide small nuclear RNA is filed under the name Anneissia japonica. Lineage: Eukaryota; Metazoa; Echinodermata; Crinoidea; Comatulida; Comatulidae. The record is from RNAcentral.